Molecule: transfer RNA, 71 nt
Filed under: Camelus bactrianus (Bactrian camel)
Lineage: Eukaryota; Metazoa; Chordata; Mammalia; Artiodactyla; Camelidae
Also listed under: 2 other names
Rfam family: tRNA
About the family: Transfer RNA (tRNA) molecules are approximately 80 nucleotides in length. Their secondary structure includes four short double-helical elements and three loops (D, anti-codon, and T loops).
Source: Rfam by way of RNAcentral
AGGGUAUAGCUCAGUGGUAGAGUGCAUGCUUACCAAUUAUGAGGUCCUGGGCUCAAUUCCCAGCACAUCUG